Molecule: long non-coding RNA, 1564 nt
Organism: Lagenorhynchus albirostris (white-beaked dolphin)
Lineage: Eukaryota; Metazoa; Chordata; Mammalia; Artiodactyla; Delphinidae
Exons: 4
Source: RefSeq, a predicted model, not a curated record
UGCAUGACAAGGUUUCCAGCAGAGCCACAUUGGUGCAUUUUAUGUACGCAUACCUUACUCAGAGAGACCCUUCCUUGCAAGUCAAAUGACUACAUGUUUGUGAGAAGAACUGGCAUGAUACCAAGUCCACUGGAUAAGGCUAGAAUGUGAGUCUCCUGAGGAAUGAAGUUGGAAUGCCUCCAUGAGAAGAGUGUGGGGACAGAGUGUUUGCAAAUGUUUUAUUUGAUUUGGAAUUUUAGAGCUCAAUCAGGAAUUAAGGUAAGCACAGGGACAGAGCUAUUAAGGCAGCUGGAAAGGGACAGACAGUCCUGGAAUGUGGCAGCUCCUGUUUGAUUUUAAAUAUUGUUGGUGGCUUGCCCUUCACACUAACUUAUUUGGAGGAAAAAAGUCUUCAGGUGAUCUUAUUUGAAUAAGAAAAAAAGUUCCAAACAGCUCCCUUGCCGCCACAUCAACAGCAGCUGAACAGCCUGGGUUGCUGCAUAGUGAGAAUUAUUCCUUUCAUUUCAAGGGAAUCAAAGAUGUUUGGAGUAAGCAAGAGCCCUGGUUACACAUGAUCAAAAUAAACGAGCGUUAGAUUUGCUUAUGGAAAGUGUCAGUUGAGUCUACUGCUAAAGCCUGAGUACACUUUUUAUUGUUCCCUAAAGAUUUUGCAGGAAAGAGAGAAGUCACCUAUGGAAAAAAACAAAAACAAAAAACUAAGUUGAUUUGGGGAAAAACAAGAAGCAUUUGAAGAUCUUCCCUUUUCUGAAUUCAUUCCUGCUGGAGGUUCCCUAAAGCAAGGGGUGCAAUGAUGAUGCUGUUGAUUGUACACAGAAGUCAAAAGGAAAUUCAAGCUUCUGUCAAGAUUCAUUCCAAAGAUAAUAAAAAAAGGAAAUGAUGGAAUCCCUUUUAGAGCUUUUGGAUGGAUUCACUGGUGCUUUGGCUGUUCUCUGAAUUUGUAAGGAAUGGAGAGCAAAAGCGAAAUUGCAGGCUCCCAGUUCAUACCCACCUUAGCAGCAAUUUCAACAUCUUAUGCUUCCAAUGGCUCCUUUUCUCAAAUCAUCCUUUGUUUCUUUCUUACUUUCAUGCAUUUUUGUUUUCUUUCUCUUUUAAAAAAAUUUUGCAACGCUACUAUCAUCCAGUGCUCCAUGACAUUCAGCAUACAUGUUUUAUAUUUUGGUGUAUAAAAUUAAGCACACUACUCCUGCCACUGCCUAUCUAUGUGACCUGUGGGCCUAAGUUUCCUCAUUUGUAAAAUAAGGGAAUUGAGUAAGACUUGCAGUGCUCAAACUAUGUUCUAUCCCAGGGUUCCUCAAUUUGUACACUGUUGAUAAUUUAAGCUGGAUAAUUCUUUGUAGUGGGAGGCUAUCCUGUUCAUCAAGGGAUGGUUAGCAACACCCCUGGCCUCUACCCAUUAGAUGCCUGCAGUACGACUAUACUCUCUCCCCUGGUUGUGAAAACCAACAAUUGCCAAAUGACUCCUGGGCUGAAAAAGUCACUAAUUAAAGCAAUGGUUCUCAAACUUUGGUGGGUGUCAAAAUCCCUGGGGAACUUGGUAAAAACAUAAAGGCCCAGACUGGAUUCA